UGAUUGGUGGAAUGUGGUCAGGGAGGCCU
This 29-nucleotide non-coding RNA is filed under the name Homo sapiens (human). Lineage: Eukaryota; Metazoa; Chordata; Mammalia; Primates; Hominidae. The record is from RNAcentral.